CAACUUUCAACAACGGAUCUCUUGGCUCUCGCAUCGAUGAAGAACGCAGCGAAAUGCGAUAAGUAAUGUGAAUUGCAGAAUUCAGUGAAUCAUCGAAUCUUUGAACGCACAUUGCGCCUUUUGGUAUUCCGAAAGGCAUGCCUGUUUGAGUGUCAUAA
Molecule: ribosomal RNA, 158 nt
Filed under: Hannaella luteola
Lineage: Eukaryota; Fungi; Basidiomycota; Tremellomycetes; Tremellales; Bulleribasidiaceae
Description: 5.8S ribosomal RNA
Rfam family: 5.8S ribosomal RNA
About the family: 5.8S ribosomal RNA (5.8S rRNA) is a component of the large subunit of the eukaryotic ribosome.
Source: RNAcentral